RNAcentral lists this ribosomal RNA (609 nucleotides) under uncultured archaeon. Its description in RNAcentral is "bacterial SSU rRNA". It matches the Rfam family "Archaeal small subunit ribosomal RNA", at positions 319 to 932 of the family's 1478-position model. The record is from RNAcentral.
GGCCCUACGGGGCGCAGCAGGCGCGAAAACUUUACAAUGCGGGCAACCGUGAUAAGGGAACCUCGAGUGCCUGUACAUGCAGGCUGUUCGGGUGUCUAAAACACACCUGAAGAAAGGGCCGGGCAAGACCGGUGCCAGCCGCCGCGGUAAUACCGGCGGCUCGAGUGGUGGCCACUUUUAUUGGGCUUAAAGCGUUCGUAGCUGGGUUGUUAAGUCUCUUGGGAAAUCUGACGGCUCAACCGUCAGGCGUCUAAGGGAUACUGGCAAUCUUGGAACCGGGAGAGGUGAGGGGUACUUCGGGGGUAGGAGUGAAAUCCUGUAAUCCUCGAGGGACCACCUGUGGCGAAGGCGCCUCACCAGAACGGCUUCGACAGUGAGGGACGAAAGCUGGGGGAGCAAACCGGAUUAGAUACCCGGGUAGUCCCAGCCGUAAACGAUGCGCGUUAGGUGUAUCGGUGACCACGAGUCACCGAGGUGCCGAAGGGAAACCGUGAAACGUGCCACCUGGGAAGUACGGCCGCAAGGCUGAAACUUAAAGGAAUUGGCGGGGGAGCACCACAACGGGUGGAGCUUGCGGUUUAAUUGGAUUCAACGCCGGAAAUCUUACCG